This 253-nucleotide ribosomal RNA is filed under the name uncultured bacterium. RNAcentral's name for it is "partial 16S ribosomal RNA". It matches the Rfam family "Bacterial small subunit ribosomal RNA", at positions 524 to 776 of the family's 1533-position model. The record is from RNAcentral.
UACAGAGGUGGCAAGCGUUGUUCGGAAUUACUGGGCGUAAAGGGCUCGUAGGCGGCUUGGUCAGUCCCGUGUGAAAUCCCUCGGCUCAACUGAGGAACUGCACGGGAAACUGCCUGGCUUGAGUUCGGGAGAGGGAAGCGGAAUUCCGGGUGUAGCGGUGAAAUGCGUAGAUAUCCGGAGGAACACCGGUGGCGAAGGCGGCUUCCUGGACCGACACUGACGCUGAGGCGCGAAGGCCAGGGGAGCAAACGGG